Long non-coding RNA from Exaiptasia diaphana, 4029 nucleotides. RefSeq lists it as uncharacterized. The transcript is spliced from 3 exons. Lineage: Eukaryota; Metazoa; Cnidaria; Anthozoa; Actiniaria; Aiptasiidae. The record is from RefSeq and is a predicted model, not a curated record.
GUGCCUGACAGUUGUUUUUAGUAGAGCUCAGUCAUGAACUUUACUCAACCGAGUUCAAUCGAAAACGGUGACACAAAUAAGACCCAGUCAACCAAACGAAUAUGAGAAAUGAUAAAAAUUCACUUUACCGGCAAGAGAAAUCGACUUCGUAUAACUCAUCAAGCUUCAUGAUAUGAUUUAAAGCAAGAGAAUAAAGAAAAUCAAUCAAAAAGUAUAAUGGCAUAUUAGUGCAUUGCUAUAGUAACAGGUGACGCUUUUUGUGGUUUCUAUGGUUACUUGAACGCGCAGUUUUGCGGUAAAAAUACACCUUAUGACGAUCUUUAGUUUAGCAAGAAGUGAUUUUGAGGACGGUAUAUGCAAUGAUUCAUUCCUCUAAUUUAUAAUUUUAUAUGAUUACAGCUGUGUGUAUCAGAAACUUACAGCAUUCUGACACUAAGAGGAAGUUCCUUUUAGCAAAUAUAUUAUUUCUGGUCUGAGAAUGAUGGAUCCUUCUUUAGAUAGAUUGAUUCCGUCAGCAUUCUUCCGUUCCGCUUUCAUCUAUUAAUCUGCAUUUGUAACAGAUCAGUUCAAAUUUCCCCAAUAAGAAAAAGCCACUGAUUGAAAAUGUUUCCUAUUAAUUAUCAAAGUAAAUCCUUUAGAUAAAUAUAUAUCAUGGCCUAAGACUGAUUUAAUUCCAAUUCAUGUAAUAAUAAAGCCAUAUUCUAUGUGCGAGAUCACUUGUAUUCAGGAUAAUACAAAACCUCAACGUCUUGUAUGGAGUAACUUCAUUUAACUGCGGCAGGCCAAGCCAGGUUAUUCGAAGCUAGAUUAACGAAUAUUAUGAGAUUGUUUAGAAGAGUGACCAGUACCGAAUUUAUCCUCUGGACUGAUAAGGAUUUAUAAAUGACCCUUUCAGUUAGCCCAGGAUUAGGACUAAUCGGGCUUCAUGAAUUUACUGAACAGCUUCACAAUGAACACGUUUCUUCUGAGUUCUGUUAAUGAUUAUUCCAUAGAAUAGAAAGCCUUGGUGUGUGUUUAGCUGUUCAUUGAGUAGACAAUAACUGGCCAAGAGACACUAUUCACGUUUUCAUAGUUUUUGAACUGAAGAAUCUAAUCGUGAGAUUUAUAGGAUAGGAUACGAUUAGAUAAAAAAGAUGUAGCAUCGAAAGGUUGUACUGCCAGUUAUGUUCCUUGAUGUGAUAAAAAUCACCAGUUCACAGAGGCCAGAACAAAAACGUCAUUCAAUUCCACGUGCAAACAAGCUAAGGCUGUUUUCGAAACACACUGCAUGAGUAAUGAGAAGCUUCUAGUCCAGUCAUAUGAACUUUUUUAUGCUUUUUCUCGAAUGUGUCCAACUCGUGGCUUUUUUCAAUAUAUGUCCUAUAGUAAAAGCAACAAAACCACAGAGCAAUUUGUCUUCAUAACAAAUAUGAUCGCCCAGUCUAAAGCUAUCUGAUCUCCCUAGGAGACAUCUUAGUUCUUUUUUUGAGGGUUUUGUGAUAAGACGCAAGCUUUCUUAGCGGUCAUAAACCCCACGCGAUAACCUGUAGCUAGAAUGUUUGAUAUCUUUAGUUUUUUUAGCAUCUCCCAUUUCUGUCAGUUCUUCUCGAUAAAGAGACUUCAUGACAAAUACAUUAAUUAGUGGAGUUACACAUAUCCUUCCAAAACAUACAAAGAAAAUGCCGAAAAAAGGACAAAAUCGUACAAUGCACCUAUCAAUGUAGGCUUUUCAAUUUAUUUUUGGUCACUGAGUGGCUAGAGCCACCAUAUUGUUCCAGUCCAGCCAUGCAGUACUACCUUGCUCUAAAUGAAUCUUUCAAUAAUGAUAUUUGUAAUAUUUAUCAAAAUAACAUAAGAAGAUAGAUUUGCGCGAUAAUUAUUUGCUUUUGACUCAACAGUAGAAUGCAAUAGAGUGGUAUAUYAACGCGUGAUCUUUUUAUAUUCCACACUUCCUUACCAUUUACGUUGCAGGACAUCGUAAUCUAAACCCGUGAAAUUCUCUUCAUGUCGAAUCAAUCAUCUCAUGCAGAACCGUUUGCCUACUUUCUCGAUUUGGCUUAGAGUGUAGACAUUAAACCCGUGAAACAAAAGGUGUGAUAAUAUCUCCUCAGAACAACCUACACACGUGAAACUCUGAUUUAAAUAAAAACGUCAAUAUGUUAUUUGUUUUUUGCCUCUUGUAAUUCUAGACAACAAACUACAUACCUGCUUAAUUGCAAGCGUUUUUAAAACAAGAAAAGAAAGCGGCUCUUAGAUCGCGCUAAAAGAGAAUAAUAAUUGUCAAACACCAAUGAAUUUAUUAUAAGAACUYGUUGAACUUUAUUGGAAAGUAAUCAAGCGAGCAGGUUUUUGUAGUUCUUUCUCAAUAUCUGACCAUGUGCCACCAGCUUCACCACGCAUCUCUAAGAGAGGAAAUCUUAGACAAUAGCCGUAGAUAAUAUUGAUAACUCGUGCCAAACACGAUAUAGCUUUGGGGCGCAUGCAGAUGCGCAAAAGUUUAAGCGAAAUGAUUGUGUCAAGCCAUCGAGGUGUCUGGGCCUCAGUUUGGUUGCAUUCGUAACUGAAACCGAGUUUUAAAAAAGCGAUACUUAUCUUAACAACUUUUGUUUUACCACGGGCGGAAUAAGCAAGAAUUUCAAAUUAAUAUAACGCACUGGUUUUACCUGAUCUACAAAGCCAAACAUGAUAAAAGGAAGAUAUUAAAAAAUAAGGCCCCACCUGCUUUAGCGAGUUCACUUGCCCCCCCCCCCUGUCGCUGUUACUGCGUGGUCAAUAUCAACUUAUAUACUAACCACAUGGCUGAUUGCUAGUCAAUUCAAGCUUUGAAUGCUGUCAAUUUAAUACUGAGAAAUGUUUGGUUGACAAAUUUUUAAAUAUACAAUGAUAAGCAAAACAGUAUACGAUAGGAAUCUAUAAAGUGGUUGGCAACUUGUGAAAAUUAAAGAGAAAGAAAUUAAAUAAAAGUAAAACUGGGCAACAUAACAACGUAAACGGAUGAAAACUGAUAAGAAUCAAGAAUUCUUCAUUGCUUUUUUAUCUUUGUCCUCGGCUUUCUUCGAAGUGUCGUUAAUCAAAUUUUUGGAUGUGUGGGUUAAACGUCAAUCAGAAUGUGGCCAUCUGAGGCCAUCUAGCACUAGUAGCCUGCCUGCCUGCUGCACACCAUCCAUUUUGACAGACGUGUGUUUUCUCUCAAAAACAACAGUCUCUAGUCAGGCUUAUCGAUAGAUGACAGAGAUAGAAUUGAGGGCGUCUCUAAUGUGUACAAUAUAGAGUGCACAGAAAGAUUGCCGUGACUGAACAGAACGAGUUUACUGAACCAACGGACGACAAAUCACCAUAUGUAUUCUUUCUAGCCAGGAUUUCACGCGCCGCCAUUAUUCAAUCUCUAAAUAUGCAAUGUUUAAAUGUGCGACCAAACAUUUUUGACUGGUAAAAACACUAUGUCAUUACAGCAUAUUCUUGCAACCAUGGCAACCCAAUUGAUGCCAUUGAUGAGUACCUGCAUGCUAUUUCUAUUUAUGUAUUGUAUUUGAGGACAAACAUAUGAAACUCAUUCUGCCUUUUUCUCUGUCUUAUUAUUCAGGGCACAGCAUGGCUCUGGCAAAAAAAGUUAUUUCGCUUUGCUUCCUGUCUGCUAUCUCUUUGAAAGCGUACCAGCACGAUCAUAAAUUAUCGCAUAAAUUUUCAGAACACAUUUGACAGCGAGAUAUAGUACUUUCCAGCAUUGUUAAGGGAACAGAUAAACUACAACGGUGCCAAUGAUGAAUUCUAAAUGAGAAAGGCAUUUUGAAAAAAUGAUUAAUCGCACAAAUAAAAAUAAAAUGAUACUGUAAAGUGCUGGUAUUUUUUUUCUAUAUUUUUUUCAAAUAAACAAAUAAAUCAAUAAGAAUAAAAAUAAAAUAAGAUCUAUCUUUUUUUUUGCACCCAAGCUCCUCUUAGCUUUUUACACUAUAUAGAAGUGGCUAUUUAAACAGGGGAUUUACAUAAUCGAUCGUCCUGUUCCUGUGAUAAUGAAUAUUAUUGAGUUAAAAAUAUUAAAACAAAACGAAA